AGGAAUCUAAAGAUGCUACCCCACCUCCACCACCACCACCACCUGAAGAAGUUGUAUUGAGAGUUUACAUGCAUUGUGAAGGUUGUGCUAGAAAGGUUAAAAGAUGCUUAAGGGGAUUUCCAGGUAAAAGAAAUAUUUUUUUUCAAAUUGAAUUUUAAAUUUUUGUUUUUUUGUUUCAAUUUAUUGAAAAAGAUGUUUUGGGAUAUAUAUAUAUAUACAGGUGUUGAAGAUGUUCAAACUGAUUGCAAAUCUCAUAAGGUAAUUGUUAAAGGAAAAACAGCUGCUGCAGAUCCAUUGAAAGUUUGUGAAAGAGUUCAGAAGAAAAGUCAUAGAAAGGUUGAACUUCUUUCUCCAAUCCCAAAACCACCUGAAGAAGAUGCAAAGAAAACUGAAGAAGAAACCAAAGAGAAUCCUAAACCAGAAGAGAAGAAGGAAGAGGUUUGCUUUUCAUUUAAUUACUUGCUUUUUCAAAUUUUAAUCUUUUGGGGAUUUUAUUUUUAAUUUUUUCUGUUUGUUUUCAGCCA
This 524-nucleotide long non-coding RNA is filed under the name Aquilegia coerulea. Its description in RNAcentral is "long non-coding RNA (ACOE_LNC001713)". Lineage: Eukaryota; Viridiplantae; Streptophyta; Magnoliopsida; Ranunculales; Ranunculaceae. The record is from RNAcentral.